Molecule: long non-coding RNA, 234 nt
Organism: Cyprinus carpio (common carp)
Lineage: Eukaryota; Metazoa; Chordata; Actinopteri; Cypriniformes; Cyprinidae
Exons: 3
Source: RefSeq, a predicted model, not a curated record
AGUUCCUGAAGUGAGUUACAGAAUGAAACAUUGUUACAAACAGAAAAAAGUCAUCUGGUGAACUCUCUAAGCUGGAACCAGUCAUGGCAGAUUGUACUGAAAGACAAAAAUAUGACCAGCUUAGAACAAAAACUGCACAAUAUUGCUGAAAUCAUCAGUCAAAGUAGUAGUAUUAAUGGGAGCGGUAUUCCUGCUCGAUAUCGUCUAAAUCCAAGAACAGACCUUCAUGAUAAA